Molecule: ribosomal RNA, 227 nt
Filed under: uncultured bacterium
Lineage: Bacteria
Description: partial 16S ribosomal RNA
Rfam family: Bacterial small subunit ribosomal RNA
Source: RNAcentral
AGCAACGCGUGAGGAACCUGCCUCAAAGAGGGGGACAACAGUUGGAAACGACUGCUAAUACCGCAUAAGCCCACGGCUCGGCAUCGAGCAGAGGGAAAAGGAGUGAUCCGCUUUGAGAUGGCCUCGCGUCCGAUUAGCUAGUUGGUGAGGUAACGGCCCACCAAGGCAACGAUCGGUAGCCGGACUGAGAGGUUGAACGGCCACAUUGGGACUGAGACACGGCCCAG